RNAcentral lists this ribosomal RNA (301 nucleotides) under uncultured bacterium. RNAcentral describes it as "partial 16S ribosomal RNA". It matches the Rfam family "Bacterial small subunit ribosomal RNA", at positions 509 to 807 of the family's 1533-position model. The record is from RNAcentral.
CAGUCGCCGCGGUAAUACGUAGGGUCCGAGCGUUGUCCGGAAUUAUUGGGCGUAAAGAGCUCGUAGGCGGUCUGUCGCGUCUGCCGUGAAAUCCUCAGGCUCAACCUGAGGCGUGCGGUGGGUACGGGCAGGCUAGAGUGCGGUAGGGGAGAAUGGAACUCCUGGUGUAGCGGUGGAAUGCGCAGAUAUCAGGAAGAACACCGAUGGCGAAGGCAGUUCUCUGGGCCGUAACUGACGCUGAGGAGCGAAAGCGUGGGGAGCGAACAGGAUUAGAGACCCCCGUAGUCCCUGUCUCUUAUAC